UUUCUGGAAACAAAUUUUAUGAAAAAUCUGUUUUCUGGAAAUAAAAGAGUGUGAUUAGACAGCGGCCAGACAACCGUAGAGAUGGUAUCCACAGAUGAUGGGUCAAUAAUCCCUCUUGUCUACUGAUUCCAUCUUACAUUU
Mangifera indica (mango) is the source of this 141-nucleotide small nucleolar RNA. RefSeq annotates it as small nucleolar RNA snoR143. The record is from RefSeq and is a predicted model, not a curated record. Lineage: Eukaryota; Viridiplantae; Streptophyta; Magnoliopsida; Sapindales; Anacardiaceae. The transcript has a single exon.